CAGUCGCCGCGGUAAUACGUAGGUGGCAAGCGCUGUCCGGAAUUAUUGGGCGUAAAGGGCUCGCAGGCGGUUUCUUAAGUCUGAUGUGAAAGCCCCCGGCUCAACCGGGGAGGGUCAUUGGAAACUGGGAAACUUGAGUGCAGAAGAGGAGAGUGGAAUUCCACGUGUAGCGGUGAAAUGCGUAGAGAUGUGGAGGAACACCAGUGGCGAAGGCGACUCUCUGGUCUGUAACUGACGCUGAGGAGCGAAAGCGUGGGGAGCGAACAGGAUUAGAUACCCGCGUAGUCCCUGUCUCUUAUAC
RNAcentral lists this ribosomal RNA (301 nucleotides) under uncultured bacterium. RNAcentral describes it as "partial 16S ribosomal RNA". It matches the Rfam family "Bacterial small subunit ribosomal RNA", at positions 509 to 807 of the family's 1533-position model. The record is from RNAcentral.